Molecule: ribosomal RNA, 2802 nt
Filed under: Escherichia coli
Lineage: Bacteria; Pseudomonadati; Pseudomonadota; Gammaproteobacteria; Enterobacterales; Enterobacteriaceae
Description: partial 23S ribosomal RNA
Rfam family: Bacterial large subunit ribosomal RNA
Source: RNAcentral
GGGUUGUGAGGUUAAGCGACUAAGCGUACACGGUGGAUGCCCUGGCAGUCAGAGGCGAUGAAGGACGUGCUAAUCUGCGAUAAGCGUCGGUAAGGUGAUAUGAACCGUUAUAACCGGCGAUUUCCGAAUGGGGAAACCCAGUGUGUUUCGACACACUAUCAUUAACUGAAUCCAUAGGUUAAUGAGGCGAACCGGGGGAACUGAAACAUCUAAGUACCCCGAGGAAAAGAAAUCAACCGAGAUUCCCCCAGUAGCGGCGAGCGAACGGGGAGCAGCCCAGAGCCUGAAUCAGUGUGUGUGUUAGUGGAAGCGUCUGGAAAGGCGCGCGAUACAGGGUGACAGCCCCGUACACAAAAAUGCACAUGCUGUGAGCUCGAUGAGUAGGGCGGGACACGUGGUAUCCUGUCUGAAUAUGGGGGGACCAUCCUCCAAGGCUAAAUACUCCUGACUGACCGAUAGUGAACCAGUACCGUGAGGGAAAGGCGAAAAGAACCCCGGCGAGGGGAGUGAAAAAGAACCUGAAACCGUGUACGUACAAGCAGUGGGAGCACGCUUAGGCGUGUGACUGCGUACCUUUUGUAUAAUGGGUCAGCGACUUAUAUUCUGUAGCAAGGUUAACCGAAUAGGGGAGCCGAAGGGAAACCGAGUCUUAACUGGGCGUUAAGUUGCAGGGUAUAGACCCGAAACCCGGUGAUCUAGCCAUGGGCAGGUUGAAGGUUGGGUAACACUAACUGGAGGACCGAACCGACUAAUGUUGAAAAAUUAGCGGAUGACUUGUGGCUGGGGGUGAAAGGCCAAUCAAACCGGGAGAUAGCUGGUUCUCCCCGAAAGCUAUUUAGGUAGCGCCUCGUGAAUUCAUCUCCGGGGGUAGAGCACUGUUUCGGCAAGGGGGUCAUCCCGACUUACCAACCCGAUGCAAACUGCGAAUACCGGAGAAUGUUAUCACGGGAGACACACGGCGGGUGCUAACGUCCGUCGUGAAGAGGGAAACAACCCAGACCGCCAGCUAAGGUCCCAAAGUCAUGGUUAAGUGGGAAACGAUGUGGGAAGGCCCAGACAGCCAGGAUGUUGGCUUAGAAGCAGCCAUCAUUUAAAGAAAGCGUAAUAGCUCACUGGUCGAGUCGGCCUGCGCGGAAGAUGUAACGGGGCUAAACCAUGCACCGAAGCUGCGGCAGCGACGCUUAUGCGUUGUUGGGUAGGGGAGCGUUCUGUAAGCCUGUGAAGGUGUGCUGUGAGGCAUGCUGGAGGUAUCAGAAGUGCGAAUGCUGACAUAAGUAACGAUAAAGCGGGUGAAAAGCCCGCUCGCCGGAAGACCAAGGGUUCCUGUCCAACGUUAAUCGGGGCAGGGUGAGUCGACCCCUAAGGCGAGGCCGAAAGGCGUAGUCGAUGGGAAACAGGUUAAUAUUCCUGUACUUGGUGUUACUGCGAAGGGGGGACGGAGAAGGCUAUGUUGACCGGGCGACGGUUGUCCCGGUUUAAGCGUGUAGGCUGGUUUUCCAGGCAAAUCCGGAAAAUCAAGGCUGAGGCGUGAUGACGAGGCACUACGGUGCUGAAGCAACAAAUGCCCUGCUUCCAGGAAAAGCCUCUAAGCAUCAGGUAACAUCAAAUCGUACCCCAAACCGACACAGGUGGUCAGGUAGAGAAUACCAAGGCGCUUGAGAGAACUCGGGUGAAGGAACUAGGCAAAAUGGUGCCGUAACUUCGGGAGAAGGCACGCUGAUAUGUAGGUGAAGCGACUUGCUCGUGGAGCUGAAAUCAGUCGAAGAUACCAGCUGGCUGCAACUGUUUAUUAAAAACACAGCACUGUGCAAACACGAAAGUGGACGUAUACGGUGUGACGCCUGCCCGGUGCCGGAAGGUUAAUUGAUGGGGUCAGCGCAAGCGAAGCUCUUGAUCGAAGCCCCGGUAAACGGCGGCCGUAACUAUAACGGUCCUAAGGUAGCGAAAUUCCUUGUCGGGUAAGUUCCGACCUGCACGAAUGGCGUAAUGAUGGCCAGGCUGUCUCCACCCGAGACUCAGUGAAAUUGAACUCGCUGUGAAGAUGCAGUGUACCCGCGGCAAGACGGAAAGACCCCGUGAACCUUUACUAUAGCUUGACACUGAACAUUGAGCCUUGAUGUGUAGGAUAGGUGGGAGGCUUAGAAGUGUGGACGCCAGUCUGCAUGGAGCCGACCUUGAAAUACCACCCUUUAAUGUUUGAUGUUCUAACGUUGACCCGUAAUCCGGGUUGCGGACAGUGUCUGGUGGGUAGUUUGACUGGGGCGGUCUCCUCCUAAAGAGUAACGGAGGAGCACGAAGGUUGGCUAAUCCUGGUCGGACAUCAGGAGGUUAGUGCAAUGGCAUAAGCCAGCUUGACUGCGAGCGUGACGGCGCGAGCAGGUGCGAAAGCAGGUCAUAGUGAUCCGGUGGUUCUGAAUGGAAGGGCCAUCGCUCAACGGAUAAAAGGUACUCCGGGGAUAACAGGCUGAUACCGCCCAAGAGUUCAUAUCGACGGCGGUGUUUGGCACCUCGAUGUCGGCUCAUCACAUCCUGGGGCUGAAGUAGGUCCCAAGGGUAUGGCUGUUCGCCAUUUAAAGUGGUACGCGAGCUGGGUUUAGAACGUCGUGAGACAGUUCGGUCCCUAUCUGCCGUGGGCGCUGGAGAACUGAGGGGGGCUGCUCCUAGUACGAGAGGACCGGAGUGGACGCAUCACUGGUGUUCGGGUUGUCAUGCCAAUGGCACUGCCCGGUAGCUAAAUGCGGAAGAGAUAAGUGCUGAAAGCAUCUAAGCACGAAACUUGCCCCGAGAUGAGUUCUCCCUGAC